CCUACGGGUGGCAGCAGUGGGGAAUAUUGCACAAUGGGCGCAAGCCUGAUGCAGCCAUGCCGCGUGUGUGAAGAAGGCCUUCGGGUUGUAAAGCACUUUCAGCGGGGAGGAAGGCGGUGAGGUUAAUAACCUCAUCGAUUGACGUUACCCGCAGAAGAAGCACCGGCUAACUCCGUGCCAGCAGCCGCGGUAAUACGGAGGGUGCAAGCGUUAAUCGGAAUUACUGGGCGUAAAGCGCACGCAGGCGGUCUGUCAAGUCGGAGGUGAAAUCCCCGGGCUCAACCUGGGAACUGCAUUCGAAACUGGCAGGCUAGAGUCUUGUAGAGGGGGGUAGAAUUCCAGGUGUAGCGGUGAAAUGCGUAGAGAUCUGGAGGAAUACCGGUGGCGAAGGCGGCCCCCUGGACAAAGACUGACGCUCAGGUGCGAAAGCGUGGGGAGCAAACAGGAUUAGAUACCCCGGUAGUC
This 465-nucleotide ribosomal RNA is filed under the name uncultured Klebsiella sp. Its description in RNAcentral is "bacterial SSU rRNA". It matches the Rfam family "Bacterial small subunit ribosomal RNA", at positions 338 to 795 of the family's 1533-position model. Lineage: Bacteria; Pseudomonadati; Pseudomonadota; Gammaproteobacteria; Enterobacterales; Enterobacteriaceae. The record is from RNAcentral.